This 263-nucleotide ribosomal RNA is filed under the name Clostridioides difficile. RNAcentral describes it as "partial 23S ribosomal RNA". It matches the Rfam family "Bacterial large subunit ribosomal RNA", at positions 790 to 1053 of the family's 2925-position model. The record is from RNAcentral. Lineage: Bacteria; Bacillati; Bacillota; Clostridia; Peptostreptococcales; Peptostreptococcaceae.
UGAAAAGCUCGGGGAUGACUUGUGGGUAGCGGUGAAAUUCCAAUCGAGCCCGGAGAUAGCUGGUUCUCCCCGAAAUAGCUUUAGGGCUAGCCUCAAGGGGAGAGAUACGGAGGUAGAGCACUGAAUGUCCUAGGGGGUAUUGCACCUACCGAAGACUAUCAAACUCCGAAUGCCGUCAUCUUAUACUUGGGAGUCAGACUGUGGGUGAUAAGAUUCAUAGUCGAAAGGGCAACAGCCCAGAUCGUCAGCUAAGGUCCCUAAAU